Molecule: ribosomal RNA, 393 nt
Filed under: uncultured bacterium
Lineage: Bacteria
Description: partial 16S ribosomal RNA
Rfam family: Bacterial small subunit ribosomal RNA
Source: RNAcentral
AUACGGAGGAUGCGAGCGUUAUCCGGAUUUAUUGGGUUUAAAGGGAGCGUAGGUGGGAUAUUAAGUCAGCUGUGAAAGUUUGGGGCUCAACCUUAAAAUUGCAGUUGAUACUGGUUUCCUUGAGUACGGUACAGGUGGGCGGAAUUCGUGGUGUAGCGGUGAAAUGCAUAGAUAUCACGAAGAACUCCGAUCGCGAAGGCAGCUCACCGGGCCGGAACUGACACUGAUGCACGAAAGUGCGGGUAUCAAACAGGAUUAGAUACCCUGGUAGUCCGCACAGUAAACGAUGAAUACUCGCUGUUUGCGAUACACGGUAAGCGGCCAAGCGAAAGCGUUAAGUAUUCCACCUGGGGAGUACGCCGGCAACGGUGAAACUCAAAGGAAUUGACGGGG